RNAcentral lists this transfer RNA (76 nucleotides) under Bacillota bacterium. RNAcentral describes it as "tRNA-Val". It matches the Rfam family "tRNA". Rfam says of the family: Transfer RNA (tRNA) molecules are approximately 80 nucleotides in length. Their secondary structure includes four short double-helical elements and three loops (D, anti-codon, and T loops). The record is from RNAcentral. Lineage: Bacteria; Bacillati; Bacillota.
GGAUACUUAGCUCAGUUGGGAGAGUGCUUCCUUCACACGGAAGAGGUCGCAGGUUCGAUCCCUGCAGUGUCCACCA